AGUUUGAUCAUGGCUCAGGACGAACGCUGGCGGCGUGCCUAACACAUGCAAGUCGAACGGAGUUCAAGGAGCUUGCUCCUUGAAUUUAGUGGCGAACGGGUGAGUAACGCGUGAGUAACCUGCCUUUCGGAGGGGGACAACAGCUGGAAACGGCUGCUAGUACCGCAUAAAGUAUAACCAAGGCAUCUCGGAUAUACCAAAGAUUUAUCGCCGAAAGAUGGGCUCGCGUCUGAUUAGCUAGUUGGUAGGGUAAAGGCCUACCAAGGCUUCGAUCAGUAGCCGGACUGAGAGGUUGACCGGCCACAUUGGGACUGAGAUACGGCCCAGACUCCUACGGGAGGCAGCAGUGGGGAAUAUUGGGCAAUGGGCGAAAGCCUGACCCAGCAACGCCGCGUGAAGGAAGAAGGCUUUCGGGUUGUAAACUUCUUUGACGAGGGAUGAAAAAAAUGACAGUACCUCGAAAACAAGCUCCGGCUAACUACGUGCAGCAGCCGCGGUAAUACGUAGGGAGCAAGCGUUGUCCGGAUUUACUGGGUGUAACAGGGGUA
Molecule: ribosomal RNA, 548 nt
Filed under: uncultured Clostridiaceae bacterium
Lineage: Bacteria; Bacillati; Bacillota; Clostridia; Eubacteriales; Clostridiaceae
Description: bacterial SSU rRNA
Rfam family: Bacterial small subunit ribosomal RNA
Source: RNAcentral